GACGUAGGGCGCGAGCGUUGUUCGGAUUUAUUGGGCGUAAAGGGCUCGUAGGCGGCUUGUCGCGUCAACUGUGAAAACCCGUGGCUCAACCAUGUGGUCUGCAGUCGAUACGGGCAGGCUAGAAUUCGGUAGGGGAGACUGGAAUUCCUGGUGUAGCGGUGAAAUGCGCAGAUAUCAGGAGGAACACCGGUGGCGAAGGCGGGUCUCUGGGCCGAUAUUGACGCUGAGGAGCGAAAGCGUGGGGAGCGAACAGG
This 254-nucleotide ribosomal RNA is filed under the name uncultured bacterium. RNAcentral's name for it is "partial 16S ribosomal RNA". It matches the Rfam family "Bacterial small subunit ribosomal RNA", at positions 524 to 776 of the family's 1533-position model. The record is from RNAcentral.